AGCGGCCACACCCGCUGGCAACAUCCAGCUCCACUCCGAACCUGGAAAUUAAGCAGUCGCGGGCCACAUCAGUACUGGCUGGGCGACUUCCCGGGAACGUGCGGUGCUUGCUUCUUUUUCCUUUUUGCGCGGUGCAGGGCUAUUGCCCUGCACCAAUACUACACUCUACACCUAUGUUUGUCCCUGCUAAAACUCUUAUUUUGAGAUAUUUUAUAAUUUUAUAUUUUUAUUAAAAAAUGAAAAUUUUCAUAAGCGAGACUCCUCCUGGAGGAAAUUGAGAGUGGUAAUGGUUAGUGUGAAUAGUGUGUGACGAACAAUCCUUUC
This 324-nucleotide ribosomal RNA is filed under the name Trichomonas vaginalis G3. The record is from RNAcentral. Lineage: Eukaryota; Parabasalia; Trichomonadida; Trichomonadidae.